Molecule: non-coding RNA, 88 nt
Filed under: Karenia brevis
Lineage: Eukaryota; Dinophyceae; Gymnodiniales; Kareniaceae
Source: RNAcentral
AGGGACACAGCAGACACCACCGAUGGAGCACUGGGAGCAGCCCUGGGCAUCAUCACGCUCAUGAGGGAAACGGCACUUUCAGCGAUGC